This 440-nucleotide ribosomal RNA is filed under the name uncultured bacterium. Its description in RNAcentral is "partial 16S ribosomal RNA". It matches the Rfam family "Bacterial small subunit ribosomal RNA", at positions 338 to 795 of the family's 1533-position model. The record is from RNAcentral.
CCUACGGGAGGCAGCAGUGGGGAAUAUUGCACAAUGGGGGAAACCCUGAUGCAGCGACGCCGCGUGAGCGAUGAAGUAUUUCGGUAUGUAAAGCUCUAUCAGCAGGGAAGAAGAUGACGGUACCUGACUAAGAAGCCCCGGCUAACUACGUGCCAGCAGCCGCGGUAAUACGUAGGGGGCAAGCGUUAUCCGGAUUUACUGGGUGUAAAGGGAGCGUAGACGGCGAUGCAAGCCAGAUGUGAAAGCCCGGGGCUCAACCCCGGGACUGCAUUUGGAACUGUGUGGCUGGAGUGCAGGAGGGGCAGGCGGAAUUCCUGGUGUAGCGGUGAAAUGCGUAGAUAUCAGGAGGAACACCGGUGGCGAAGGCGGCCUGCUGGACUGCAACUGACGUUGAGGCCCGAAAGCGUGGGGAGCAAACAGGAUUAGAUACCCCUGUAGUC